AAAUCCCCUAGGUUGGUCAGGCUCUGGUAAAACCUCAGUCAGUUAGGUUCUGAUGAAAUAUUUGCUUUUGAGGACCAUCCUUGUUAAAAAGAACAGAAUAUUCUGGGCAUAUUUCAAAAUAGCUACCCUUCCCCUCUCCUUGCAGGAAGCACAAGAGGAUUUCCCUCCAAUCACUGUGAGAAUUUGGUAGAGCUCCUAGAAGCAAAACUCACAAAAAUGUGAAAGCCCCUUUAAGACUGGGCUCCCACGAAUUUUUAACUGUCCGUACUAAAACAGUUCAUCCAUUACAGUUUAGGCUUUCCUACUUUUACUGUUUCCCAUGGGGGUUUCUGUUCAUGAGCUUUUGUUCCAGUAAUCUGUGAUUCUCUGAAUCUGCUAGUCUGUCUCUCCAAUUUUGGAAACAGUAGUAUGCCCUGCAACUUCCAUUCUCUGAUGGAUCUAAGAAGAGUUUUUGAUUUCCAGCUUGUUCAGCUUUUUUGUGUGUAGAUGGGAGCAACAUUUCUAAGCCCCUUAUAUGCUGGACUGGAAACUGAAAUUCCCCCUCCAGACAACUAUAUUCUAUAUUCCAGUCGGGAAGAAGUAUGGACGAAGGAACUGUGUGCCCUCCAAGAACAUAUUUCUUUUUAAUCAGUAAAACAAUAAUUUUCCCAGAAACUACGUAGACUUUCACUUACAUCUUGUUGGCCAGAACUAGGUCACGUCACUACCCUUGUUGCAAAGGAGGCUUAAAACGUACGUAUUUUCUAACUGAGCGUGUGAUAACUCCAUAAAAAUUAGGGGACUGGUAGUAAGAAAAGUGAAGGGAAUGGAUACAUAGCAGACUACUGUGUUUUCCUCAGUUUAAUAUUUUGGCUGUCCAAUAUCCAUGCAUACAUGGCCUGUCACAGCAAAUGCUUAUCCUCUCUCCUGUGCAACAACUUCGAAGUCUCAUCAGCUUCUUGCACCCAGCUGAAGUGAAGGGAUUGCUUGGAGAUAUUCAAUGAUCUCUGUCAAAUAUAAUGACUAAUGAACUAAGUGCGUCUAAUAAACUAACAGAUGAGUCAAAAAAGGAGUAACCAAAGUCAAAACACUCUACAGAAGGGAAAACAGGAAACAUACAGCAGUCACUUAUCCAUAGGAAAUAUUAAAUUAUUCUGAGUAAGAAUAGCAAGAACUCCCUGUUCUGCAAUAGAGUAAAAUUUUGAAUAUUCCAUCUGCCAGUUCUACAUCUAGUUAUGCUGUAAGUCAACACCGUCCAAGAGAAAUAUAGCAUGAGCCACAAAGGCCAGCCUCAUAUGUAAUUUCAAAUUUCCUAGAAUUCUCACUUAAAAAAUAAGUUGGUAUAUUAACAAUAUAUUCAUCUAACCUAGGAUAUCAAAAAUCUUAAUUUAUAAUCAACAUGAUCAAAGUAUUAAUUAUAUGUAUUAUAUCCUUUUUAAUACCAAGUCUUUGAAAGCUAGUGUAUUUUUUACAUUUAUAGCACAUCUCAAUUUGGAAUAGUCACAUUUCAAGUGCUCAAUAGCCGCAUAUAGCUAGUGACUACAACAACUAUAUAGACAAUGCAUCUCUAAGUCCUCUCUCUGUCCACUGCCCUCCAUGAAUCUUAAUUCUACUCCCAAGGGGAUUCUCUGCAUCUCUUACCUUUCCAGGCUGUACAUGAAGUAUACAUUAUGGAAAAUGCCUUAACUGGAGCCGCACGAUUUUCACAGCACACCUGCACAUGGUAUAUGUUUGGCAGACCCACAGAUAGCCCUAGGAGUUGAAUAUUCAGACUGUAACUUGCCAAGUUUGUAUAUUGUUGGCAGUGGAAUUCCCUCAGAAAUCAAGCAUUACUUCUGUUCAAUGACUUGUAACCACAACCGAAGAUUAUGUGUAAAUGUCACCUUAAAAUGUCUCCAGAGAGGCUUGGGGCACCAGUAUAAUCUCUUGCAAAGAGUGCAGCUUUGCUUGCAUUGACUUUGGUGAUGGAUACAGAAACAGUGGCAUUUUUAUCUUUGAAAAGCUCUCAGUCAACAUAGAUUGCAGGCCUGAACAAAUGCAGAUUUCAGGCCUGGACAAAGAGUGUCUCCUUUAUUGAAAUUCUAAUUCCUUCUACCCCUACUAGCAGUAAACUGACAAAGGAUCUCAUUUGCCCAAGACUAAGAUGGUUCCCAGGAUGUAGAGCUUUCAAUUUUAAGACUGGAAAAAUAGUUUCAGGAAAAUGGAUGAGUGUGCCACUCUAGCUUACAGAUAGGCCAAAUCCAGACUUGGUCUCUCUCUCUCAGAAUUUUGCUUCCCAAAGCUCCAUUUUCUCUACAUUUUAGGAUCUGUUAUUUGCAGCAAUCCGUUUCCAGAUUUCAGCUUCUUUAUUAGUUAUGGAUUGCAUUUGGCUGCAUACAUCAGAAAACUGACUAGAAGCUUAAUCAAAUAGAGAAAUAUUUUUCUCAAGCAAUGGAAGUAUGAAAGUGGGUAAACUGUCUGACAUAGUAACUCCAUAAAGUGUGAAGAACUCGAGUUCCAUCUAGCUUUCUUCUUACUCAACUUUAGCAUGUGACUUUUGUCCUUAUAAUCAAAAAAUGAUUCAUCUAUCUUCAGAAGCUGCAUAUUCAUUUUAGGCAAGAUUAAGAUUAAGGGUAAUGUACAAGAAAAGAAGCACAUUAACUGAGGCUGAGUUUAAUAUCAACCAAAAAAAAAAAAAAAAUGGCUUUCUCAGAAGCCUUCCAUCCAGUAGAAUUCCACAUACAUCUCAUUAUUUUGGUUGUGUGGCUACUCCUAACUUCAGGGGACUCUGAGAGAUGAGUAUGAGUAUUUUUCAUUGAUUUAUUGAUGCCUCAAAAGAAUAAGGCUAUUGUUAGCAAAGAAGAAAAGAGAAAGAAUGCAAGCUAAUAGUGGAAAGUAAAGAAAGGAAUACAUCUAUAUGAUUAGGCAACAUGAUAACAGAGACUAAACAUAUGUGGAAAAAUUCUGGAACCCAUCUCUUCGAAUGCGCCUCUCUACAUUCUUUCCACCUAUGACAGAGAAUUCAUAAGACAAUAUUUUAUGUAUACAAAAUUUUAUAAAUACAGUCUAAAUCUUAGUAAAG
RNAcentral lists this long non-coding RNA (3040 nucleotides) under Homo sapiens (human). RNAcentral describes it as "HSALNT0293059". The record is from RNAcentral. Lineage: Eukaryota; Metazoa; Chordata; Mammalia; Primates; Hominidae.